RNAcentral lists this ribosomal RNA (484 nucleotides) under uncultured bacterium. Its description in RNAcentral is "bacterial SSU rRNA". It matches the Rfam family "Bacterial small subunit ribosomal RNA", at positions 32 to 507 of the family's 1533-position model. The record is from RNAcentral.
AACGCUGGCGGCAUGCUUACACAUGCAAGUCGAACGGCAGCGACAGGGAGCUUGNUCCCGGGUGGCGAGUGGCGCACGGGUGAGUAAUACAUCGGAACGUGUCCUGUUGUGGGGGAUAACUGCUCGAAAGGGUGGCUAAUACCGCAUGAGACCUGAGGGUGAAAGCGGGGGAUCGCAAGACCUCGCGCAAUUGGAGCGGCCGAUGCCCGAUUAGCUAGUUGGUGAGGUAAAGGCUCACCAAGGCGACGAUCGGUAGCUGGUCUGAGAGGACGACCAGCCACACUGGGACUGAGACACGGCCCAGACUCCUACGGGAGGCAGCAGUGGGGAAUUUUGGACAAUGGGGGCAACCCUGAUCCAGCCAUGCCGCGUGCAGGAUAAAGGCCUUCGGGUUGUGAACUGCUUUUGUCAGGGACGAAAAGGACCGUGUUAAUACCAUGGUCUGCUGACGGUACCUGAAGAAUAAGCACCGGCUAACUACGUG